GCGACCCUAUAUUAACGGGCACGGGUAUCCUAACCGUGAUAAGGUAGCGUACUCGCUUGUUCUUUAAAUGAGGAGUAGUAUCAAUGGCACCACGAACGGUCAUGCUGUCUCCUUUCUUUAGUCAGUCAUAAUAAUCACUCGGUGAAUAAGCGGGAAUAUAACAUAUAAGACGAGAAUACCCUAUGGAGCAUUAAUCCGAGUAACAAUUGCUAAAUUACCAUCCCGGCCCCAAAUUUGCAAGGCAUAUUGAUUACAAGUUUUAGGUUGGGGUGACCGCGGAGCAGAAAAUAGCCUCCGCAUUGAAGGCUUUUCUAACCCUCAAGCCACAACUUUAAGCAUCAAUAAAUUGACCCUAAUUGACCCAAGGUUUUGAUCAAUGAACCAGUUACCCUAGGGAUAACAGCUCAGUCCGCUACAAGAGCAAAUAUCGGCAAGUGGGUUUACGCCCUCGAUGUUGGAUCAGGG
RNAcentral lists this ribosomal RNA (465 nucleotides) under Crossodactylus caramaschii. Its description in RNAcentral is "partial 16S ribosomal RNA". It matches the Rfam family "Bacterial large subunit ribosomal RNA", at positions 1913 to 2542 of the family's 2925-position model. Lineage: Eukaryota; Metazoa; Chordata; Amphibia; Anura; Hylodidae. The record is from RNAcentral.